UGGGGAAUUUUGGACAAUGGGCGCAAGCCUGAUCCAGCCAUGCCGCGUGCAGGAUGAAGGCCUUCGGGUUGUAAACUGCUUUUGUACGGAACGAAAAGGUGCCUUCUAAUAAAGGGCGCUCAUGACGGUACCGUAAGAAUAAGCGCCGGCUAACUACGUGCCAGCAGCCGCGGUAAUACGUAGGGUGCGAGCGUUAAUCGGAAUUACUGGGCGUAAAGCGUGCGCAGGCGGUUUUGUAAGACAGAGGUGAAAUCCCCGGGCUCAACCUGGGAACUGCCUUUGUGACUGCAAGGCUGGAGUGCGGCAGAGGGGGAUGGAAUUCCGCGUGUAGCAGUGAAAUGCGUAGAUAUGGGGAGGAACACCGAUGGCGAAGGCAAUCCCCUGGGCCUGCACUGACGCUCAUGCACGAAAGCGUGGGGAGCAAACA
Molecule: ribosomal RNA, 427 nt
Filed under: uncultured bacterium
Lineage: Bacteria
Description: bacterial SSU rRNA
Rfam family: Bacterial small subunit ribosomal RNA
Source: RNAcentral